This 175-nucleotide non-coding RNA is filed under the name pig gut metagenome. Its description in RNAcentral is "6S / SsrS RNA". It matches the Rfam family "6S / SsrS RNA". From Rfam's summary of the family: E. coli 6S RNA was the first non coding RNA to be sequenced, but its function was unknown until recently. It consists of 184 nucleotides that fold into an extended hairpin structure with a large single-stranded internal bulge. The record is from RNAcentral.
UUAGCUGCGAUGUUCGUAAACAUUUAAGUUUAACCUCUAUAUUUCUAUAAGGGAGUUUUAAAUAGAUAUUGGAUUGUUAGGCCUCGAUUGAGUGGAAAACAUGAAAAUAUCUGCGAACACCCACUUUAAACAAGUGGUGGUUUAAACUUUCUAAUUACUACGGCAUCCGUGGCUA